ACGGGUGAGUAAUGUCUGGGAAACUGCCUGAUGGAGGGGGAUAACUACUGGAAACGGUAGCUAAUACCGCAUAAUGUCGCAAGACCAAAGAGGGGGACCUUCGGGCCUCUUGCCAUCGGAUGUGCCCAGAUGGGAUUAGCUAGUAGGUGGGGUAACGGCUCACCUAGGCGACGAUCCCUAGCUGGUCUGAGAGGAUGACCAGCCACACUGGAACUGAGACACGGUCCAGACUCCUACGGGAGGCAGCAUG
This 250-nucleotide ribosomal RNA is filed under the name uncultured bacterium. Its description in RNAcentral is "partial 16S ribosomal RNA". It matches the Rfam family "Bacterial small subunit ribosomal RNA", at positions 102 to 353 of the family's 1533-position model. The record is from RNAcentral.